Long non-coding RNA from Cheilinus undulatus (humphead wrasse), 2294 nucleotides. RefSeq lists it as uncharacterized. NCBI's taxonomy places the organism in Eukaryota, Metazoa, Chordata, Actinopteri, Labriformes, Labridae. The record is from RefSeq and is a predicted model, not a curated record. The transcript is spliced from 2 exons.
GUUAAAUUUUAUGGAAAUUUGGAUUUUUUUUAUUUCAGUAGAAAGAUAAAUGAACAUUUCAGUUCCAAAAAAUUUAGAAAUUCCUGGCUAUUAUUUGUGUAUUCAGACUUUAAGGGGUUAAACUUUAUUGUGAAAAGAUUUGAGACUUUUCUCUAAUAUUAUUAUGACUUUAUUCUCUGAAUCUUUCAUACCCUGAGGCUCUGUCACAGAAAUCUGGAUCUAGGAUGUUUUUGGGAUCUUUUUGUGGGAUCAGGAAUCUUGAAUGUGAGGAAAAAUCAUUUUUUAAUUUCAAUUCUUCACGCAAGUAAAAAAGCAGGGUUUAAAGAUGUUUUCUAAUAGAAGCCGUAUGUUUGAGGAAUUAAAAAACAGCUUUUAGUGUUGAUGGCUCUGUCUUUCCCAUCCGAGGGAAAACAAACAAGCAUUUAUAUCAGGAAAUGAGUGAGGCUGAGGCUUAGCCAUUUAAAAAUAAGUACUGUAGGGCUUUAUAAAGUUUUAACUUUAUAAAGUUAGAAUUCAAUCAUAUUUGGGGCUCAAACGCCAAGAGAACACUCUGGAGGAAGAGUUGAGCUGUGACGCACAAAUCAGCUUUUCCCCAGAGACAUGUAAAGGUGUGUUUUUGUGGACGUUUCCUCAGAGACAUGUAAAGGUGUGUUUUUGUGGACGUUUCCUCAGAGACAUGUAAAGGUGUGUUUUUGUGGACUUUUCCUCAGAGACAUGUAAAGGUGUGUUUUUGUGGACUUUUCCUCAGAGACAUGUAAAGGUGUGCUUUUGUGGACUUUUCCUCAGAGACAUGUAAAGGUGUGUUUUUGUGGACUUUUCCUCAGAGACAUGUAAAGGUGUGUUUUUGUGGACUUUUCCUCAGAGACAUGUAAAGGUGUGUUUUUGUGGACUUUUCCUCAGAGACAUGUAAAGGUGUGUUUUUGUGGACUUUUCCUCAGAGACAUGUAAAGGUGUGUUUUUGUGGACUGUACUCUCACUGGCUGAGGGUUUAAAGGUCAGAUGUCUGUGUGUGAAAACGAAGCGUUUCUGAAUCGUCUGAUGUGUUUUUAUUCACUUAGUGCCAAAUAUUUAGAAAUGAGACAUUCAGGAAGAGUUACAUCAACAAUACUACAUCAUAAAUGAUUAUAUAUUACUUAUAUUUUAAUAGAACAAUGCAUGAAUUAAUACUUUGCAUUUAAAGCUGUGUUUAUUCAUACAUGGACAAAGGAGUCAGUUGUAGCGACUGUCUAUGUUUACAUGCAGAUGAGGAAAGUUGAAGUAUUGUGUUAGUCUGACUUAAACUAGACUUCUAAAAUGCCUGUAAACAUGUAAGUCUGUUCUGAGCACGCUCCACAGCCUCUGCACUGAGCUGACCUGGAAGUUGGACUGCAUGCAAGCUAAGCAUAGCAGACAGUAGUCCGGCUAAACUGCCUACGUGAGCUACAGCUGUAGCUCUUCAUUCCUAUGCAUGCUAACUCGUUCACUAAGAAGCUUUUAGCCACUAGUUUCUAUAUUAAGGCUGAAAAUAAAGCCGGGUGUUAAUCUCAGGAGUUUGUGACCAAAAAAAAGCGAAAUAUUUGACUUAUAUUCACGAGACGGACACAAACGCCACUCCACUGAGGAGCUCCCACAGCUUGUGUAAAUGAAACCACCUCUGUUCUGCAGAGAGCAUUUUAGCAGCUUUAAAUGAAACUAAAAGAGGAUCAAGUUUGUUUGUCUUUGUUUUAUGAGGUGAAAUUGACUGCAAUAUUUCUGGGAGGUAACCCCCUUUAAUUUGAAUUCACUUUUAUGAAUAUUAACCCCUAGAUAAGCUCUUGUGUGUUUGUAAUGUGAUAAAAUGUUGUGAAAUGUUGUACUGAGCUUGAUUUAGACUGCACAGCUUUCCAAAUGUGGAAAUGUGACACUGUGUGUGUGACGGCACUUAUAAUGUAUGUUAUUUUUUAUUAUUACACUGUACUGUAUUCAUGUUAAAUGUCUAAUAAAUAAUCAUCUGCUUUGAAAACAGUGAAAAUUAAACCUUAAACGAAGCUCAAAGUUGAGUUUUAUAAGAAUCGUGAGAGAUGAUGGGAAGCAUAGAUGAACAAGUUUGCUCCUGUAAGGAUAAAGCUGUAUAUCUCUGAGUGUUGAUAACGCUUUUACAAUUAAAUCAAUUAACCAAGUAUUCGUUAAGUGGUUUGGAUGAUGCAUAUUUGCCGUUUUCGGCUUUUUUUAGGAAGCUAAGUUUAAGGAUCUGAUUUUUACAGCGUUUUCUCAGUUAUUGUGCAAGAUGUUUUGUUAUAUCAGAAGUUAAAAUAAAUGACUGCUCAUCUAUUUAA